UGCUGGUUCGGGCAGAAAUCACACUAGCAUUUCCCUUCUUCAUCAUCCAGGGAGUUGCCUUGGCAGGACCAAAUUUUGACUCUCAAACUAGCCCCUUCCAUUCUUAGGGAUUUGGGGGCAGUACAAGCCAGAAGGA
Molecule: long non-coding RNA, 136 nt
Filed under: Monodelphis domestica (gray short-tailed opossum)
Lineage: Eukaryota; Metazoa; Chordata; Mammalia; Didelphimorphia; Didelphidae
Description: lncRNA (ENSMODG00000030221.2)
Source: RNAcentral